UCGGGAAUUUUGGGCAAUGGGCGAAAGCCUGACCCAGCAACGCCGCGUGAAGGAUGAAGGCCUUCGGGUUGUAAACUGCUUUUGUACGGAACGAAACGGCGAACUCUAAUAAAGUUUGCUAAUGACGGUACCGUAAGAAUAAGCACCGGCUAACUACGUGCCAGCAGCCGCGGUAAUACGUAGGGUGCAAGCGUUAAUCGGAAUUACUGGGCGUAAAGCGUGCGCAGGCGGUUAUAUAAGACAGAUGUGAAAUCCCCGGGCUCAACCUGGGACCUGCAUUUGUGACUGUAUAGCUAGAGUACGGUAGAGGGGGAUGGAAUUCCGCGUGUAGCAGUGAAAUGCGUAGAUAUGCGGAGGAACACCGAUGGCGAAGGCAAUCCCCUGGACCUGUACUGACGCUCAUGCACGAAAGCGUGGGGAGCAAACAGGAUUAGAUACCCCCGUAGUCCCUGAGCGGGCUGGCAAGGCGCAU
Molecule: ribosomal RNA, 472 nt
Filed under: uncultured bacterium
Lineage: Bacteria
Description: bacterial SSU rRNA
Rfam family: Bacterial small subunit ribosomal RNA
Source: RNAcentral